Clostridium tetanomorphum DSM 665 is the source of this 83-nucleotide non-coding RNA. Lineage: Bacteria; Bacillati; Bacillota; Clostridia; Eubacteriales; Clostridiaceae. The record is from Rfam.
AAUGAAAUUGGAGCAAUGAAGAUUUUCCUAUAUUUGGGCACCUGGGAAAUUUGGAGUUAAUGGUGCAACCUCCCAAUAAAAUU